AUUCUACUCCCUCCGUUGCACAAUACAUGCCUUCUAUUUGUCAAAAUAUAUAUGUAUCUAGACAUGUUUUAGUAUAUACGUACAUCCAUUUUUGGACAAAUGAAAGUCAAGUAUUGUGGAAUGGAGGGAGUACACA
Triticum aestivum (bread wheat) is the source of this 136-nucleotide non-coding RNA. NCBI's taxonomy places the organism in Eukaryota, Viridiplantae, Streptophyta, Magnoliopsida, Poales, Poaceae. The record is from Rfam.